RNAcentral lists this transfer RNA (77 nucleotides) under Acidobacteriota bacterium. Its description in RNAcentral is "Acidobacteria bacterium tRNA-Leu". It matches the Rfam family "tRNA". Rfam says of the family: Transfer RNA (tRNA) molecules are approximately 80 nucleotides in length. Their secondary structure includes four short double-helical elements and three loops (D, anti-codon, and T loops). The record is from RNAcentral. RNAcentral also lists the same sequence under 1 other name. Lineage: Bacteria; Pseudomonadati; Acidobacteriota.
GCUGGCGUAGCCCAAUCGGCAGAGGCAGCCGACUUAAAAUCGGCAAAGCGUAGGUUCGAGUCCUACCGCCAGCACCA